AAUGUCUCGAGUCUUAACCGGGAACAUACUCUGAGUUGACUGAACUUACUCCCGGACGCGUUUUUGGAACCACAUACCUCGAGUAAGCAAGGUUUGGGGUUAAUCAACCGAGAGUUCAGGGUUUAUCUGACGGUAAGUUAACCAUGCUUUCUGGAAUGCACCCCUGCUCAGCCGUAAACAGAGGGGAAGAAUUGCCACUGGAGCUCCCUGGGAACUGUGCUGUAACUCAAACCUUUCCGUGUCCCGCUGGGGGACGAGGAGCUGAACUUGGUCACAGUCAUGGAGCUGGAAGUUCCUCCGGAGCCAGCGCCACCUCCUCCACCUCUGGAUAUAUUCAUACUGCCU
Onychostoma macrolepis is the source of this 345-nucleotide long non-coding RNA. RefSeq lists it as uncharacterized. The transcript has 3 exons. The record is from RefSeq and is a predicted model, not a curated record. Lineage: Eukaryota; Metazoa; Chordata; Actinopteri; Cypriniformes; Cyprinidae.